CAUGCAAGUCGAGGGGCAGCAUGAAAGUUUGCUUGCAAACUUUUGAUGGCGACCGGCGCACGGGUGAGUAACACGUAUCCAACCUGCCUCAUACUCGGGGAUAGCCUUUCGAAAGAAAGAUUAAUACCCGAUGUCAUAGUCCUACCGCAUGAUGGGAUUAUUAAAGAAUUUCGGUAUGGGAUGGGGAUGCGUUCCAUUAGUUAGUUGGCGGGGUAACGGCCCACCAAGACACGAUGGAUAGGGGUUCUGAGAGGAAGGUCCCCCACAUUGGAACUGAGACACGGUCCAACUCCUACGGGAGGCAGCAGUGAGGAAUAUUGGUCAAUGGACGAGAGUCUGAACCAGCCAAGUAGCGUGAAGGAUGACUGCCCUAUGGGUUGUAAACUUCUUUUAUAUGGGAAUAAAAGUUCCACGUGUGGGAUUUUGUAUGUACCAUAUGAAUAAGGAUCGGCUAACUCCGUGCCAGCAGCCGCGGUAAUACGGAGGAUCCGAGCGUUAUCCGGAUUUAUUGGGUUUAAAGGGAGCGUAGGUGGAUUGUUAAGUCAGUUGUGAAAGUUUGCGGCUCAACCGUAAAAUUGCAGUUGAAACUGGCAGUCUUGAGUACAGUAGAGGUGGGCGGAAUUCGUGGUGUAGCGGUGAAAUGCUUAGAUAUCACGAAGAACUCCGAUUGCGAAGGCAGCUCACUGGACUGCAACUGACACUGAGGCUCGAAAGUGUGGGUAUCAAACAGGAUUAGAUACCCUGGUAGUCCACACAGUAAACGAUGAAUACUCGCUGUUUGCGAUAUACAGCAAGCGGCCAAGCGAAAGCAUUAAGUAUUCCACCUGGGGAGUACGCCGGCAACGGUGAAACUCAAAGGAAUUGACGGGGGCCCGCACAAGCGGAGGAACAUGUGGUUUAAUUCGAUGAUACGCGAGGAACCUUACCCGGGCUUAAAUUGCACCUGAAUAAUGUGGAAACAUGUUAGCCGUAAGGCAGGUGUGAAGGUGCUGCAUGGUUGUCGUCAGCUCGUGCCGUGAGGUGUCGGCUUAAGUGCCAUAACGAGCGCAACCCUUAUCUUCAGUUACUAACAGGUCAUGCUGAGGACUCUGGAGAGACUGCCGUCGUAAGAUGUGAGGAAGGUGGGGAUGACGUCAAAUCAGCACGGCCCUUACGUCCGGGGCUACACACGUGUUACAAUGGGAGGUACAGAAGGCCGCUACCUGGCGACAGGAUGCCAAUCCCCAAAACCUCUCUCAGUUCGGAUCGAAGUCUGCAACCCGACUUCGUGAAGCUGGAUUCGCUAGUAAUCGCGCAUCAGCCAUGGCGCGGUGAAUACGUUCCCGGGCCUUGUACACACCGCCCGUCAAGCCAUGAAAGCCGGGGGUACCUGAAGUACGUAACCGCAAGGAUC
This 1393-nucleotide ribosomal RNA is filed under the name Bacteroides acidifaciens. RNAcentral's name for it is "bacterial SSU rRNA". It matches the Rfam family "Bacterial small subunit ribosomal RNA". Lineage: Bacteria; Pseudomonadati; Bacteroidota; Bacteroidia; Bacteroidales; Bacteroidaceae. The record is from RNAcentral.